This 720-nucleotide ribosomal RNA is filed under the name Triticum aestivum (bread wheat). RNAcentral's name for it is "partial small subunit ribosomal RNA". The record is from RNAcentral. Lineage: Eukaryota; Viridiplantae; Streptophyta; Magnoliopsida; Poales; Poaceae.
AUGAGAAAGACAACUAAGGCUCCAUAUCCUCCAUAUCCUCAUACCGAAGGCUCAUCUAGGAGCCAACCUAAUAGAGUGGAAGAAAAGGCCACUCCACCAAAGACAAAACAGCCAAUCCCGAAACAAACUAGAAGCAAGGGUAAGGCAAAUGAAGGCCCAAAGUGCUAUAAAUGUGGUAAAGAGGGACACGUAUCCAGCGGUUGCCCACUAAGGAAAUUUGUUAACACGACUAUCCAUGAUGGUGAAAGCGAUGAGGAAGAAUACGAAUCUGAAGAUGUAGACGGACAAGAGGUUUGUCAAGAAGAAGGCGAAGAGGUGGUAUGUGUGAUCCAGCGUCUCCUAUGUUCCACACCACAACUCGAUGACACACAACGGAAGAAAAUACUUGAGAGCAAAUGCACGGUGAAUGGCAAGGUAUGCAAACUAGUGAUUGAUAGUUGCAGCCGCGAGAAUCUUAUCUCCCAGAAGUUGGUGGACCAUUUAAAGCUUGAAAUCCAUGAUCAUCCGAAUCCCUACACUAUUGGAUGGAUCAAGAAAGGAGUGAAUAUGAGGAUCACCAAACAAUGCAACCUGCCACUUUCUUUGGGUAAGCAUUAUCGCUCAAAUGUGUUGUGUGAUGUGGUUGACAUGGAUGCCAGCCAUGUUCUUCUUGGGAGGCCUUGGCAAUUUGAUGUGGAUACUACACACAAGGGCAAGGAAAAUUCUUACUCUUUCAUUUGA